Solanum lycopersicum (tomato) is the source of this 1275-nucleotide long non-coding RNA. RefSeq lists it as uncharacterized. The record is from RefSeq and is a predicted model, not a curated record. Lineage: Eukaryota; Viridiplantae; Streptophyta; Magnoliopsida; Solanales; Solanaceae.
UCUUUCUCUAUUCUAAGAAAAGGGAGAAGUAUAUGUCAUUCUCUAUUCUAAGGCAAGGGAGAAGUAUAUCACUUUUUCUAUUCUAAAGAAAGGGAGAAGGACGUGAAUUUUUCUAUUUUAAGGAAAGGGAGAUGUAUAUGUUUUUUUUUCUUUUUUAAGGAAAGACACGGUAUUUUUUUCUCCACCUUAGAUAAGGAAGAUAUCUCUUUAAAUAGGGAUUCUUCUAAUCCUUGUAAUGGUAAAAUUUUCUAUACGAUAGUUGUUCAUCCAAGUAUUGAAAGUUCCGAAGUGAAUUGGAGAGCACCGUAGAAGAGCACAGAACUGUGGACUAGCUUGUGGAUUCGUUUAAAGAUUCUCCCUUGUCGACUAAUUUGUGGAUUCACUUGAAAGUAUAUGUUCCCGCUUCAAGAGGGCAAGAUGAGCCAAGAGGAUGAAAAAGAAAGAGAGGCUGAUUUUACAAAUGAAUUUUCUAUGGAUGAAACACCUAUGGAUUUGGGUUUGAAUCGAGCAAUUUGCCUACCACCAGAGAAAAGUUGUCCAAAGCGGAGAUGUAUAAAUCAGCAUAGAAGUUAUCCACGAAGCCAUCGACGGCCCAUAAUUCCAUCAACGGACCGUAGGUGGUUAUCGUUGAUGAAAUCUGUCCAAAGAUGAACACAUAAAUUUUUGAGCAAGAAAUGCAGAAAAGACCACCUACGAGCUUAUGACGUUCCGUCGAGUCUGUGAUGGUCCAUAGGUGGUAUCGUAGUGAGGAGAAAAGCUGCUGAAGAAAGAUGGGAAGUCUGACUAAGUGUUGGAUUACAGAAGUCCAUGACGGUCCGUCCUGUUGGUUCGUCGUAAUGAUCAGAGAGUAGUCCAGUACCUUAACUCCAAGAAGUUAAAGUAUUAUGGAAUGGAUACCCUCGACGGACCGUCGUGCUUGAAACGGUUCGUCAUACCUGUUCGUUGAGGAUAAUGAAAAAAGCAGUAGAAGAAUUUUUGAAGUAUAGGAUGACGGAGGCCAUGACAGCCCAUCGUGACCACGAAGGUCCGUCACGAGGUCCGUCGACUCAGACGCGUUUUGACAGAUUUUCAGUAAUUAGAAUCCUUCUUUUAUUAGAUUUUUAUUUUUAUUAUAAAUAGUUUGAAAAACCUCGUUUUUGGGGUUAGACGGUAAGACUUUUCGAAUAUUUAGUUCUCUUGUUCAAGUUUUGAAGGAUUAAUUUCAGUGAUUGAUACACUCUUUCUGGAAUCGAUUAUUGGUGCUUUUGUUGAUUAAUCAAGUGAAUUUUUGGAUUU